CAACAGGCCCCUUCUGCUCCUUAAGUUUUCUUCACAUCAUUGAUGGUCCCAAAUUUAAAUCACGGAAAUUGGACUUUGACCUCACUUCAAUAAAAUGUGUCUGCCGAGGUCACUGUGGACCUAGGGGAUCAGGAGUGCCCUGGGGACAAUGACCAUAGUCAGUUUGUUUUCACACUGCUUUGCAGGAAGUGUUUCAUUCCACUCAAGGAACUUGGACAUAUCGAGGGGCACAAAAUGUACUCAUUCCUAUCCCAAUAAAUGAUACUUUUACUUCAAAUGCACUCUGUAUUCCACUAGUAUACUCAUUAUAUAGACAUCGGGUUAUACCUACCUACUGCACAGUAACGCCCUGUGUAUUCAGAAUACUUGGUAGAGAUUUCCAUAUUUUUAAAAUGCCUAUCUCUCCAAGAAAUCACAUUUCCUUAAAAAAAAAAGAAUAGCCAGAAAUUUCUAAAACAACACGAAUAUAGGCUAUUAAGAAAACUUCCAGCAAGGAUGACUGGUUCCCUCUUUACCCAUACUCUGAGCUACAGUUUCCAUAGCAGAAAUAAAGCAACUGGAAAAUGGGGUUAAGAACUUGUCUCUGGCCCUAGAAGAGUCACCAAUGGCACCACUGCUUUACAAGCCUGAUAAACCAUCUAAAUCCACAAAUCAGAGCUGUCACGGGAAACCCCACAGUCCUCGAUUUCCUCUUAGCUGACCGAGGAAACAUGUUAACUAUCACAGAACUUUCUUCUUAAACCUCUGCAAAUACUACAGAGAAAAUAAGGACCUGUGACCAGGAUCAAAAGGGGUGGGGUGCAGUGGGGAGGGGCUCCCUAAUCCUCCAGAGCAGACCCAACUGGAUCCUGGGACUGAGAGUCAUGGCCUGAUCCAGGACCGAGGUUCUUGGCUUCAAGACCUAUUACAAGAGCAGCCAUGGUUUUCCUUCCGACAGCGCCUGUGUUAUAUUUAGCAGGUGGUCCUGUCUUAAUGCUGCAUGGCCACUGUCAGGACAGAUGGUUCCCUGGCUCCUCCUGACAGAAAGAGAGGACAGAUGCACCCUGACUCAACUGCACGCAUCUUCACCUUAACGCACAAAAUCCCAGCGAUGGGGAAAUUUAUAAGAGGUGAAGUUCUGUGGCCUGCCUUCAUCUGACCUUGACUUCAAGGGGGCCUGAGAAAGAAAAUGCCAGACAGGUGCUUCCUAAGACCCUGUAUUGACACACCAGAGGUUCCCCAGUAUAACUUCUUCACAGCUGCCAUGAGCACGAGCACCGCCCAUUUAACCCACGGGGCGUCCCCACAGGGCAUCUGGACAGACCCAGUCCCAGCCGGGGCCUGAGCCCGAACACGCGCAUGGCGGGGUCUCUCUCCGCUGCCCACGGACUGGACAGAAGUGGCGUCCAUGUCUGUUCUCGUCUUACGUGUACCGAAAUGGAAGCAGCUGUCACGGUUACAGCGGAACGUGAUUCUCCUCAUGCUGGCGUUUCUGGGGCUCGGGGGGCUCCUGUCCUACAUCAGCGUGGCGGACCAGUGGAAAGCCCCGAACGUCAGGUCAGCGGAAGAGCAGAAGAUGAGGCCAGCAAACCCACCUGUCCUGCCAGCUCCCCAGAAGGCAGAGGCUAACGCAGAGAAAGUCCCGGGGGCGCUGCCUCAGGUCUGGUGUGCUCCCCUCACUCGUUAUUCUGGGCUGCGUGGACGAUGCGUGGGGGAGGAGGGAGGGAUAGUCUUCCCUUCGUUCUUCAUCGCGCACCUGCUGCUGAGGUGGUGAAGAAGGAAACAGGCCCGUGGCUUCUCUGGCGGGGCUGCAGGCUGGCGGGAGGGCGAGGCAGGUGAGACGCCAGGAAUAAACAGUAACAGUGGCCCACGUGGCGUCCUACAAGGAGAAGAGCAGACGCCCUGAGAGAGAAGGCUGGGGCUGGGCCCCUCGGUCAGGGCAGGACACUGAGCUGCAGUCUGAGGAGGGAGCUGGGAUCCCACAAGGGCCUGGACGGGGACGGGGCCAGGGGUCGGUGCAGGCCGGGCCCCGUGAGUCCUCCUGGGGCGCAGGCAGCACUGGAGGUUCAGUCGGCCUCGUGGGAGAUGACAGCUGGGGCAGGAUGUCAGCUUGUCCCUGUGAAGGCUCUCUGGGCGCCGGGUGGAGACGGCGGCACAGUCAGGAGUGGACGGCAGGAGGCAGCAGAGCCCAGCUGCCUGGACUGGGAGAGCCUGCGCCUGGAGCCAGCCUGGGCAGGACUGGGCCUGUGAGGGUAGGGAGGGUUCCCCGGGGGAGGGGCCGUGGAGGCCGAGAGGGAGCGGGCUGGGAACGCUCGGGCGCUCCCUUCUGGACCUGCCCCAGCCGUGUGAGGUGCCUGGGACCUCAGGAGAUGUGGGUGGUGGUGUCAGGAUCAGAGUCAGCGGUGGGAGCCCACAGGGACCUGGUGGAGGAGGAGCCAGGCCUAGUCCUGGGGCGCCCCACCCUUACAGUGGGGGUGGGGGCAGGCGAGGGGCCAUGGAGACUAGAGGGCAGUCAGGAGGCCAGCAGGGGACCAGGAAGCGUCCCUUCUAGAGAGAGGUGGUCCCGGGAGAUGGCCUCCGAGAACCGGGGUGCUGUGCACCUGGGGACUCCCUCCGUCCCUCCUCAGGUGUGGAUGUGGGCGCCGCUGCUAGAGAGGAUGCUGGGCCAGUGCUGGCCUCACGUCCUGCAGGGCUGCCCCGGGGGAGACGGGAGGCCGCCUUCCCGCUGCCUCUUCAAGGGUCUGUGUGCAGAGAAUGAAUUUCCUCGCAUAAAGCUGACCAGUGUUCCCUUGGCUUCUUUCGGCCGCUGUCUGACACACGGACUCAUAACCACGGGAAACCAGAAUACAGCACGCUGCCCUAGAAAGUCGCGGGCCCAUGGUCGUGACACCCACGGUCCCAUCUGUGGCGUCCAGGGAGGGCCUCCAUGGUCAGGGGUGAAUGUCCCCAUGCCUCUGGUGCAAGAAUCAGGGGUGAGGCCCUUUCGGAGGUCCCUUGGACACCUCUCCCGCUCAGCGCCGUCCCCAAGACCUGUUUCAGCGACGGUGUCUGUUUUGGCCGGACCCGAGUCUCUUGACCAAGGGGCCCAGUUCUUGGUCGUCCGCAUCUGUCCGACGAGAAUGGCCUCACGGCUUACAUGGACAUUGAAAAGCAGAGACUGCCCCUCAUGGUUUGGCCACCUUCCUGUGCUCGGUGGUGUCCCUGGUCACACCCACCAUGUGGGACUGGCGGUGAGGACGAGCGCUGCGUCCACAUAAUCACCGAGUCCAGCGCUUUUGCCCCACGUGCUGAGGAUGAGCGGGGCAGCCGGGGCCAGGCCUGCAGCCGUGUUCUCAGGGCUGUGUUCUCGGGACAUGGCUCUAGCCCUUUCGUGCCUCCGCCAGGCCCCCUGACAGACAACCUCGCCACCAGGAUGUGAGUAUGAAGCACUCAGCGUUUUCCCUUUGCUGCAGGGAUUUGGUGGGGGUGGGGGUUCCAGUUUGUUUGCCCGUUUCUGGGCCUGUGCUGAGCUGAGGACACUGCUAGGCUCCCCGCCGACAGCAGGGGACCCGUUCCCAGUCAAUGAUUCCAGCUCACUACUGCAGCCUGAGCGUCAGGCCACGUGAAGCCAGCAAGCUCGCGUCUGUCCUCGUACAGAGUGAGUCACAAUAGCCAGAAGGAGAAACUACCCUAAUGUCCCCCGAUGGGUGAAUGCAUGAGAAAAACAUGGUGCCUAUAUGCAAUGGGGCAUUAUGCCGUCAGAUACCUGCCAGGAUGUGGAUGGGCCUGAAGACAUUGUGCCAAGUGAACCGAGCUGUCACAACGGAGUCACAUACAUGAGGUCCCCGUGGGCGAACUCAUCAAGAUGGAACGUGGACCAGUGCCAGGUCCUUGAGCCCUCAGCCUGCGUCAUGUGUCCCCAUGGCAACCGUCUCCGUGGUGACACAAUG
This is an RNA transcript of Hipposideros armiger (great roundleaf bat), 3908 nucleotides long. It is a transcript of the gene named endoplasmic reticulum mannosyl-oligosaccharide 1,2-alpha-mannosidase-like, with no coding region annotated. The transcript is spliced from 5 exons. NCBI's taxonomy places the organism in Eukaryota, Metazoa, Chordata, Mammalia, Chiroptera, Hipposideridae. The record is from RefSeq and is a predicted model, not a curated record.